RNAcentral lists this small nucleolar RNA (106 nucleotides) under Echinops telfairi (small Madagascar hedgehog). Its description in RNAcentral is "Small nucleolar RNA SNORA61 (ENSETEG00000026136.1)". Lineage: Eukaryota; Metazoa; Chordata; Mammalia; Afrosoricida; Tenrecidae. The record is from RNAcentral.
ACCCUCUAGAGUCCGUAUACCUUGGAUCUAAACAUGGGUCAGAGAGGCUAUAAAAGGAAGGAAAGGAAAACUGAAGUGGGCUUGGGUGUUUUAGUGGCAGACAGGU